This 465-nucleotide ribosomal RNA is filed under the name Vreelandella stevensii. RNAcentral describes it as "partial 16S ribosomal RNA". It matches the Rfam family "Bacterial small subunit ribosomal RNA", at positions 338 to 795 of the family's 1533-position model. Lineage: Bacteria; Pseudomonadati; Pseudomonadota; Gammaproteobacteria; Oceanospirillales; Halomonadaceae. The record is from RNAcentral.
CCUACGGGGGGCAGCAGUGGGGAAUAUUGGACAAUGGGGGCAACCCUGAUCCAGCCAUGCCGCGUGUGUGAAGAAGGCCCUCGGGUGGUAAAGCACUUUCAGUGAGGAAGAACGCCUGGUGGUUAAUACCCAUCAGGAAAGACAUCACUCACAGAAGAAGCACCGGCUAACUCCGUGCCAGCAGCCGCGGUAAUACGGAGGGUGCGAGCGUUAAUCGGAAUUACUGGGCGUAAAGCGCGCGUAGGUGGCUUGAUAAGCCGGUUGUGAAAGCCCCGGGCUCAACCUGGGAACGGCAUCCGGAACUGUCCAGCUAGAGUGCAGGAGAGGAAGGUAGAAUUCCCCGUGUAGCGGUGAAAUGCGUAGAGAUCGGGAGGAAUACCAGUGGCGAAGGCGGCCUUCUGGACUGACACUGACACUGAGGUGCGAAAGCGUGCGUAGCAAACAGGAUGAGCUACCCUUGUAGUC